RNAcentral lists this ribosomal RNA (194 nucleotides) under uncultured bacterium. RNAcentral's name for it is "partial 16S ribosomal RNA". It matches the Rfam family "Bacterial small subunit ribosomal RNA", at positions 1299 to 1500 of the family's 1533-position model. The record is from RNAcentral.
UGGAGUCUGCAACCCGACUCCACGAAGUUGGAUUCGCUAGUAAUCGCGCAUCAGCCAUGGCGCGGUGAAUACGUUCCCGGGCCUUGUACACACCGCCCGUCAAGCCAUGGGAGCCGGGGGCGCCUGAAGUCCGGGACCGCGAGGACCGGCCUAGGGCGAAACUGGUGACUGGGGCUAAGUCGUAACAAGGUACC